RNAcentral lists this ribosomal RNA (456 nucleotides) under Escherichia coli. RNAcentral describes it as "bacterial SSU rRNA". It matches the Rfam family "Bacterial small subunit ribosomal RNA", at positions 1 to 453 of the family's 1533-position model. Lineage: Bacteria; Pseudomonadati; Pseudomonadota; Gammaproteobacteria; Enterobacterales; Enterobacteriaceae. The record is from RNAcentral.
AAAUUGAAGAGUUUGAUCAUGGCUCAGAUUGAACGCUGGCGGCAGGCCUAACACAUGCAAGUCGAACGGUAACAGAAAGCAGCUUGCUGCUUUGCUGACGAGUGGCGGACGGGUGAGUAAUGUCUGGGAAACUGCCUGAUGGAGGGGGAUAACUACUGGAAACGGUAGCUAAUACCGCAUAACGUCGCAAGACCAAAGAGGGGGACCUUCGGGCCUCUUGCCAUCGGAUGUGCCCAGAUGGGAUUAGCUUGUUGGUGGGGUAACGGCUCACCAAGGCGACGAUCCCUAGCUGGUCUGAGAGGAUGACCAGCCACACUGGAACUGAGACACGGUCCAGACUCCUACGGGAGGCAGCAGUGGGGAAUAUUGCACAAUGGGCGCAAGCCUGAUGCAGCCAUGCCGCGUGUAUGAAGAAGGCCUUCGGGUUGUAAAGUACUUUCAGCGGGGAGGAAGGGA